This 70-nucleotide transfer RNA is filed under the name Leptobrachium boringii (Emei moustache toad). RNAcentral's name for it is "tRNA-Ala". It matches the Rfam family "tRNA". Rfam says of the family: Transfer RNA (tRNA) molecules are approximately 80 nucleotides in length. The record is from RNAcentral. Lineage: Eukaryota; Metazoa; Chordata; Amphibia; Anura; Megophryidae.
AAGGCUUUAGCUUAAUUAAAAGUUUCUGGUUUGCGUCCAGGGGAAGUGGGGUAAUAUCCCGCAAGCCUUA